RNAcentral lists this ribosomal RNA (467 nucleotides) under uncultured bacterium. RNAcentral describes it as "partial 16S ribosomal RNA". It matches the Rfam family "Bacterial small subunit ribosomal RNA", at positions 28 to 507 of the family's 1533-position model. The record is from RNAcentral.
GACGAACGCUGGCGGCGUGCUUAACACAUGCAAGUCGAACGGAAAGGCCCUGCUUUUGUGGGGUGCUCGAGUGGCGAACGGGUGAGUAACACGUGAGUAACCUGCCCUUGACUUGGGAUAACUUACGGAAACUGGGGGUAAUUCCGGAUAGGUAACCCUGCUGCACGGUGGGGGGUGGAAAGUUUCGGCGGUUGGGGCUGGACUCGCGGCUUGUCAGCUUGUUGGUGGGGUAGUGGCUUACCAAGGCUUUGACGGGGAACCGGCCUGAGGGGGUGACAGGCGACAUUGAGACUGAGAUACGGCCGAGGCUCCUACGGGAGGCAGCAGUGGGGAAUAUUGCACAAUGGGCGGAGGCCGUAUGCAGAAACGCCGCGUGUGGGAUGACGGCCUUCGGGUUGUGAACCGCUUUCGCCUGUGACGAAGCGUGAGUGACGGUAAUGGGUAAAGAAGCACCGGCUAACUACGUG